Molecule: ribosomal RNA, 867 nt
Filed under: marine metagenome
Description: bacterial SSU rRNA
Rfam family: Bacterial small subunit ribosomal RNA
Source: RNAcentral
CGAUGCCGCGUGAGUGAAGAAGGCCUUUGGGUUGUAAAGCUCUUUCGUCGGGGAAGAAAAUGACUGUACCCGAAUAAGAAGGUCCGGCUAACUUCGUGCCAGCAGCCGCGGUAAUACGAAGGGACCUAGCGUAGUUCGGAAUUACUGGGCUUAAAGAGUUCGUAGGUGGUUAAAAAAGUUGGUGGUGAAAUCCCAGAGCUUAACUCUGGAACUGCCAUCAAAACUUUUUAGCUAGAGUAUGAUAGAGGAAAGCAGAAUUUCUAGUGUAGAGGUGAAAUUCGUAGAUAUUAGAAAGAAUACCAAUUGCGAAGGCAGCUUUCUGGAUCAUUACUGACACUGAGGAACGAAAGCAUGGGUAGCGAAGAGGAUUAGAUACCCUCGUAGUCCAUGCCGUAAACGAUGUGUGUUAGACGUUGGAAAUUUAUUUUCAGUGUCGCAGCGAAAGCAAUAAACACACCGCCUGGGGAGUACGACCGCAAGGUUAAAACUCAAAUGAAUUGACGGGGACCCGCACAAGUAGUGGAGCAUGUGGUUUAAUUCGAAGAUACGCGCAGAACCUUACCAACACUUGACAUGUUCGUCGCGACUUUAAGAGAUUAAAGUUUUCGGUUCGGCCGGACGAAACACAGGUGCUGCAUGGCUGUCGUCAGCUCGUGUCGUGAGAUGUUGGGUUAAGUCCCGCAACGAGCGCAACCCUCACUUUUAGUUGCCAUCAUUUAGUUGGGCACUCUGAAAGAACUGCCAGUGAUAAGCUGGAGGAAGGUGGGGAUGACGUCAAGUCCUCAUGGCCCUUACGUGUUGGGCUACACACGUGCUACAAUGGCAUUUACAAUAGGAAGCAAGACGGCGACGUUUAGCAAAUCCUAA